RNAcentral lists this ribosomal RNA (253 nucleotides) under uncultured bacterium. RNAcentral's name for it is "partial 16S ribosomal RNA". It matches the Rfam family "Bacterial small subunit ribosomal RNA", at positions 524 to 776 of the family's 1533-position model. The record is from RNAcentral.
UACAGAGGGUGCAAGCGUUAAUCGGAAUUACUGGGCGUAAAGCGCGCGUAGGCCGUCGAGUAAGUCGGAUGUGAAAUCCCCGGGCUUAACCUGGGAAUUGCAUUCGAUACUGCUUGGCUAGAGUGUGGAAGAGGGAAGCGGAAUUUCCGGUGUAGCGGUGAAAUGCGUAGAUAUCGGAAGGAACACCAGUGGCGAAGGCGGCUUCCUGGUCCAACACUGACGCUGAGGCGCGAAAGCGUGGGGAGCGAACAGG